This 206-nucleotide ribosomal RNA is filed under the name uncultured bacterium. Its description in RNAcentral is "partial 16S ribosomal RNA". It matches the Rfam family "Bacterial small subunit ribosomal RNA", at positions 524 to 727 of the family's 1533-position model. The record is from RNAcentral.
UACGUAGGGGGCAAGCGUUGUCCGGAUUUAUUGGGCGUAAAGAGCGUGUAGGCGGCUUUACAGGUCCGUUGUGAAAACUCGAGGCUCAACCUCGAGACGCCGGUGGAAACCGUAAAGCUAGAGUCCGGAAGAGGAGAGUGGAAUUCCUGGUGUAGCGGUGGAAAUGCGCAGAUAUCAGGAAGAACACCCAUGGCGAAGGCGGACUC